CUGCUCAAUGAUUUUUUAAAUUGCUGUGGUAUUUUGACUAUACGAAGGUAUUGAAAUAAGAUCUUAAAUGGGUGCUAAGAGAAUGGUUGAACAAGGAUUUUCUUUCUUAAGUUAAAUUAUUAGAAGUUGGUUUUUGAGUGAAAAAACUUAAAUUAAAUUUUGGGACAAGAAGACCCUAUGAAUUUUUAUUAAUUAGUUUAUUAUAAGAUUUUAUAAUAAUUUAAUUAAUUUAAUUGGGGUGAUUUUUAAAGAUUGAGGAUCUUUAAUAAUUUUAAAGUUGAUCCAUUAUUAAUGAUUAUUUGAAAAAAAUACUCUAGGGAUAACAGCGUAAUAAUUUUGGAUAGUUCUUAUUGAUAAAGUUGAUUGCGACCUCGAUGUUGGAUUAAGAUACUUUUAUAAUGAAGAAGUUAUAAAAAGGAGUUUGCUCAACUUUUAAUAUCUUACGUGAUCUGAGUUCAGACCGG
RNAcentral lists this ribosomal RNA (464 nucleotides) under Argas monolakensis. RNAcentral's name for it is "16S ribosomal RNA". The stretch from base 319 to 464 matches the Rfam family "Bacterial large subunit ribosomal RNA", at positions 2473 to 2619 of the family's 2925-position model. The record is from RNAcentral. Lineage: Eukaryota; Metazoa; Arthropoda; Arachnida; Ixodida; Argasidae.